RNAcentral lists this long non-coding RNA (484 nucleotides) under Elaeis guineensis (African oil palm). Its description in RNAcentral is "long non-coding RNA (EGUI_LNC061081)". The record is from RNAcentral. Lineage: Eukaryota; Viridiplantae; Streptophyta; Magnoliopsida; Arecales; Arecaceae.
UACAUCUAAUGUAUGUAUUAAACAAUAGAUCAGAUCUAUUACCUUGCAAGUUAGAUGUUCUAACCUUGUUGAUCUGGGCUUGAGGAUGAUGUUGCAAGCUGCACAUGCAUCCGACCUCUAGGAGUCGUCCACACGAGCCCACGAAUCUCGAUCAGAAGUCCUGCUUCAGGAAAUCAGCACAGUAUGCUAGUACUGCGCUGAUCCUUCUUUGAUGGUCGAUCAGGUGCCUCCUUCUUCUUGAUUUAGACUCUUCCAAAGAUGGAAAGUAGAAGGAGAAGUUUCAGAUCUGAGACACUCUCAGGAAACUCAAGAUGGAAGGAGGAAAGAUAUGAAAUAAAAACCCUAGAAGAAGACCCUCUUCUUCUUCACGUUUUUCUCUCUAGACACCCAAACUUGCAUCUUUUAUAUCUCCACGACCCAAAGGUAUUUCUCUCUAAUUUUUGGAUGGUAGAAAGGUCUCUCAAAUAUCUAUCUCUCCUUAAAA